CAGCCGCCGCGGGAAUACAGAGGAUGGAAGCGUUAUCCGAAAUGAUUGGGCGUAAGCGUCUGUAGGUGGCUUUUCAAGUCCGCCGUCAAAUCCCAGGGCUCAACCCUGGACAGGCGGUGGAAACUACCAAGCUGGAGUACGGUAGGGGCAGAGGGAAUUUCCAGUGGAGCGGUGAAAUGCGUGGAUAUUCGGAAGAACACCAGUGGCGAAGGCGACACACUGGCUCAUUACUGACGCUGAGGCUCGAAAGCGUGGGGAGCAAACAGGAUUAGAUACCCCAGUAGUCCCUGUCUCUUAUACA
This 301-nucleotide ribosomal RNA is filed under the name uncultured bacterium. RNAcentral describes it as "partial 16S ribosomal RNA". It matches the Rfam family "Bacterial small subunit ribosomal RNA", at positions 509 to 808 of the family's 1533-position model. The record is from RNAcentral.